RNAcentral lists this ribosomal RNA (399 nucleotides) under Triticum aestivum (bread wheat). RNAcentral describes it as "partial small subunit ribosomal RNA". Lineage: Eukaryota; Viridiplantae; Streptophyta; Magnoliopsida; Poales; Poaceae. The record is from RNAcentral.
AUGCGCCGGGUUUCGCCGGUGCGUGGACAUAACGACGUGCUACCUGGCCAUCGCGGGACGCGGCGCAAAGAGAGCCGGUCGCGGCCACUGGAGUAUACUGCGACCAAAGUGGCGUCAGGCUAUGUCAAUUUUGGAGGCGGCGGCUCAGAGGUGCCCCGACAAAUUCGCGACGGAGGGCGGACCAUGGUCAGAGGACCAGGCAGUGGCUACUUAACCCCGGCCAUGAAGGUAGGCGGUGUUCGGCCACAGUGGAGCAGGCGGCUCGUCACGCUGAAGGCAAGGCAGAGCAGGGCGAGGGCGGUUCUCCGGCGUCCCGGAGUAGCAGCGGAAGCGGCGACUGCGGGAGCGCAGAGGUGGCUUGGCGCGACUCGGUGGAGCAAGGGCGCGAUGGCGACUUAG